Globicephala melas (long-finned pilot whale) is the source of this 177-nucleotide long non-coding RNA. RefSeq lists it as uncharacterized. The record is from RefSeq and is a predicted model, not a curated record. NCBI's taxonomy places the organism in Eukaryota, Metazoa, Chordata, Mammalia, Artiodactyla, Delphinidae.
UGUGGAGAAGACUGAAGGGGAGAAAGCACAGGAUGAGACUUUCUAAACAUCACUGGGAUCCAACUGAAGGUCAUGAUGAGGCUAGCAUCCUAAGUGAAUGAAAUUCUCUUCUCAAAGAAAUCCUUCUGCUGUAUUUCCAUUGUGAGAAGUGCAACCCUGUGGGAGAGAAGGAUAUCU